GAUCCUGGCUCAGAAUGAACGUUGGCGGCGUGGAUUAGGCAUGCAAGUCGCACGAGAAGCUCUUUUUGCUUGCAUUAGGAGCGGACAGUGGCGAAAGGGAGAGUAACGCGUGGAUACUUACCCCGGGGUCCGGGAUAGCCGAGGGAAACUUCAGGUAAUACCGGAUAACGUUUCCGAACCAAAGGUGUGAUUCCGCCUUGGGAUAGGUCCGCGUCCUACUAGCUUGUUGGUGGGGUAAUGGCCUACCAAGACUAUGAUGGGUAGCGGGUGUGAGAGCAUGGCCCGUCUCACUGGGACUGAGACACUGCCCAGACACCUACGGGUGGCUGCAGUCGAGAAUCUUUGUCAAUGGACGAAAGUCUGAACAAGCGACGCCGCGUGCGGGAUGAAGGCCCUCGGGUUGUAAACCGCUGUCAUAGGGGAGGAAAUUUUGACCGAUCCUAAGAGGAAGCACAGGCUAAAUUCGUGCCAGCAGCCGCGGUAAUACGAAUUGUGCGAACGUUAUUCGGAAUCACUGGGCUUAAAGGGUGCGUAGGCGGCUAUGUAGGUCUGAUGUGAAAUCCCACGGCUCAACCGUGGAACUGCGUUGGAAACCAUGUAGCUUGAGGGAGACAGAGGAAAGCGGAACUGAUGGUGGAGCGGUGAAAUGCGCUGAGAUCAUCAGGAACACCGGUGGCGAAAGCGGCUUUCUGGGUCUCUUCUGACGCUGAGGCACGAAAGCUAGGGGAGCGAACGGGAUUAGAUACCCCGGUAGUCCUAGCUGUAAACGAUCAGUACUAGUCUGUGGGGGCUUCCACACCCUCUCGGACGUAGCGAAAGUGUUAAGUACUGCGCCUGGGGAGUAUGGUCGCAAGGCAA
RNAcentral lists this ribosomal RNA (858 nucleotides) under uncultured Planctomycetota bacterium. RNAcentral describes it as "bacterial SSU rRNA". It matches the Rfam family "Bacterial small subunit ribosomal RNA", at positions 15 to 896 of the family's 1533-position model. Lineage: Bacteria; Pseudomonadati; Planctomycetota. The record is from RNAcentral.